Molecule: ribosomal RNA, 487 nt
Filed under: uncultured bacterium
Lineage: Bacteria
Description: bacterial SSU rRNA
Rfam family: Bacterial small subunit ribosomal RNA
Source: RNAcentral
AUUGAACGCUGGCGGCAUGCCUUACACAUGCAAGUCGAAGGCAGCAUGGAGGAGCUUGCUCCUCUGAUGGCGAGUGGCGAACGGGUGAGUAAAGCAUCGGAACGUACCGUGUAGUGGGGAUAACGUAGCGAAAGUUACGCUAAUACCGCAUACGCACUGAGGUGGAAAGCAGGGGAUCGCAAGACCUUGCGCUAUACGAGCGGCCGAUGUCAGAUUAGCUAGUUGUAGGGUAAAGGCCUACCAAGCCGACGAUCUGUAGCUGGUCUGAGAGGACGACCAGCCACACUGGGACUGAGACACGGCCCAGACUCCUACGGGAGGCAGCAGUGGGGAAUUUUGGACAAUGGGCGCAAGCCUGAUCCAGCAAUGCCGCGUGCAGGAAGAAGGCCUUCGGGUUGUAAACUGCUUUUGUACGGAACGAAAAGGCUCUGGUUAAUACCUGGGGCUCAUGACGGUACCGUAAGAAUAAGCACCGGCUAACUACGUG